This 468-nucleotide ribosomal RNA is filed under the name uncultured bacterium. RNAcentral's name for it is "partial 16S ribosomal RNA". It matches the Rfam family "Bacterial small subunit ribosomal RNA", at positions 28 to 507 of the family's 1533-position model. The record is from RNAcentral.
GACGAACGCUGGCGGCGUGCUUAACACAUGCAAGUCGAACGGAAAGGCCCUGCUUUCGUGGGGUGCUCGAGUGGCGAACGGGUGAGUAACACGUGAGUAACCUGCCUUGGAUUUGGGGAUAACUUCAGGAAACUGGUGCUACUACCGGAUAGGAGCCCCUGCUGCAUGGUGGGGGUUUGAAAGUUUCGGCGGUUGGGGUUGGAGCCGCGGCUGAUCAGCUUGUGGGUGGGGUAGUGGCUUACCAAGGCUUUGACGGGCAGCCGGCCUGCGAGGGUGACCGGCCACAUUGGGACUGAGAAACGGCCAGGACUCAUACGGGAGGAAGCAGUGGAGAAUAUUGCACAAUGGGCGGAAGCCUGAUGCAGCGACGCCGCAUGCGGGAUCACGGCCUUCGGGUUGUAACCCGCUUUCGCCUGUAACGAAGCGUGAGUGACGGUAAUGGGUAAAGAAGCACCGGCUAACUACGUG